This 379-nucleotide unclassified non-coding RNA is filed under the name uncultured delta proteobacterium. RNAcentral describes it as "contains 16S-23S intergenic spacer region". The record is from RNAcentral. Lineage: Bacteria; Deltaproteobacteria.
UCCGUGUUAACCACGGCAGUCUCCUUAGAGAGCCCAACUUAAUGCUGGCAACUAAGGACAAGGGUUGCGCUCGUUGCGGGACUUAACCCAACAUGUCACCACACGAGCUGACGUCAGCCAUGCAGCACCUGUCAUCCGGCUGUAUUGCUACAGAAACCGUAUCUCUACGGCGGUCCGGAGAUGUCAAACCCAGGUAAGGUUCUUCGCGUUGCUUCGAAUUAAACCACAUGAUCCACCGCUUGUGCGGGCCCCCGUCAAUUCCUUUGAGUUUUAGUCUUGCGACCGUACUUCCCAGGCGGAGUGCUAAAUGCGUUAACGACGGCACCGCAGGGGUCAAUACCCGCGACACCUAGCACUCAACGUUUACGGCGUGGACUAC